CAGAGUGAGCAAGGUAUAUAUAGCUGGGAUAAUGAGUAAAUGACUAACAGGUGCUAAUGAUCAGACAGAAUUACAGACAAGGGACUAUGGGAAAUGGAGUUCACAACAUAUAACACGAAAACAGGAGAGUGCCCUCAAGUGGCCAGUCCAGGGCACCACAACCAGACACUGUGACAUUACCCCCCCUCUACGGAGCAGAUACCACACGCUCCACCAGAAAACAAAAAGUUCAGGAGGGAGGUGGAACUGAGGUGGACCAGGGGGAGGGAUGGCGGGCCAGGACCAUGCAAUGGAAGGGGACCAGGGAACACAG
Long non-coding RNA from Sinocyclocheilus anshuiensis, 313 nucleotides. RefSeq lists it as uncharacterized. The transcript is spliced from 3 exons. NCBI's taxonomy places the organism in Eukaryota, Metazoa, Chordata, Actinopteri, Cypriniformes, Cyprinidae. The record is from RefSeq and is a predicted model, not a curated record.